UCAAUAAGCGGAGGAAAAGAAACCAACAGGGAUUGCCCUAGUAACGGCGAGUGAAGCGGCAACAGCUCAAAUUUGAAAUCUGGCGCAAGCCCGAGUUGUAAUUUGUAGAGGAUGUUUCUGGCGACGUGCCUUCCGAGUUCCCUGGAACGGGACGCCAUAGAGGGUGAGAGCCCCGUACGGUUGGUUGCCUAGCCUCUGUGAAACUCCUUCGACGAGUCGAGUAGUUUGGGAAUGCUGCUCUAAAUGGGAGGUAUACGUCUUCUAAAGCUAAAUACCGGCCAGAGACCGAUAGCGCACAAGUAGAGUGAUCGAAAGAUGAAAAGCACUUUGAAAAGAGGGUUAAAUAGUACGUGAAAUUGUUGAAAGGGAAGCGUUUAUGACCAGACUUGAGCAGGUUGAUCAUCCGUGGUUCUCCGCGGUGCACUCUGCCUGUUCAGGCCAGCAUCAGUUUGGUUCGGGGGAUAAAGGCUUCGGGAAUGUAGCUCCCUCGGGAGUGUUAUAGACCGUUGCGUAAUACCCUGAUCCGGACUGAGGUUCGCGCUCUGCAAGGAUGCUGGCGUAAUGGUCAUCAGCGACCCGUCUUGAAACACGGACCAAGGAGUCGUCUUCGUAUGCGAGUGUUCGGGUGUCAAACCCCUACGCGUAAUGAAAGUGAACGUAGGAGAGAGCUUCGGCGCAUCUCCGACCGAUCCUGAUGUUCUCGGAUGGAUUUGAGUAAGAGCAUACGGGGCCGGACCCGAAAGAAGGUGAACUAUGCCUGUAUAGGGUGAAGCCAGAGGAAACUCUGGUGGAGGCUCGCAGCGGUUCUGACGUGCAAAUCGAUCGUCAAAUAUGGG
This 836-nucleotide ribosomal RNA is filed under the name Clonostachys aquatica. Its description in RNAcentral is "Clonostachys sp. DB-2022a partial large subunit ribosomal RNA". It matches the Rfam family "Eukaryotic large subunit ribosomal RNA", at positions 43 to 915 of the family's 3401-position model. The record is from RNAcentral. Lineage: Eukaryota; Fungi; Ascomycota; Sordariomycetes; Hypocreales; Bionectriaceae.